GUCCCGAAAGUAGCGUGAAAUUACCGGGCGUAAAGGGUCCCUGGGCGGUCUGGUAAGUGGAAGGUGAAAACCUACGGCUCAGCCGUAGAAUUGCCUUCCAAUCUGCUGGACUUGAGGCAGGGAGAGGUCGGCGGAAUUCCCGGAGUAGCGGAGAAAUGCGUAGAUAUCGGGAGGAACACCAGUGGCGAAGGCGGCCGACUGGAACUGUCCUGACGUUGAGGGACGAAAACUAGGGGGGCUUAAAGGGGAUUAGAUACCCGGGUAGUCCUACCCGCAACCGUUGAAUGGUCGAUGUAGUAUACGACUGUAGCACCGGCCCAAGCUAAAGCUCUAAG
RNAcentral lists this ribosomal RNA (335 nucleotides) under uncultured Sulfurihydrogenibium sp. RNAcentral describes it as "bacterial SSU rRNA". It matches the Rfam family "Bacterial small subunit ribosomal RNA", at positions 531 to 864 of the family's 1533-position model. The record is from RNAcentral. Lineage: Bacteria; Pseudomonadati; Aquificota; Aquificia; Aquificales; Hydrogenothermaceae.